This 927-nucleotide ribosomal RNA is filed under the name uncultured bacterium. RNAcentral's name for it is "bacterial SSU rRNA". It matches the Rfam family "Bacterial small subunit ribosomal RNA", at positions 33 to 949 of the family's 1533-position model. The record is from RNAcentral.
ACGCUGGCGGCGUGCUUAGCACAUGCAAGUCGAACGAAAAUACCAAGCUUGCUUGGUUGAUUAGUGGCGAACGGGUGAGUAACACGUGAGUAACCUGCCCCUUACUUUCCUGGAUAACUGCUCGAAAGGGUAGCUAAUACGGGAUAUUCUGGCCUUCCUGCAUGGGUUGGUUUGGAAAGGUUUUUUUUCUGGUAAGGGAUGGGCUCGCGGCCUAUCAGCUUGUUGGUGGGGUGAUGGCCUACCAAGGCUUUGACGGGUAGCCGGCCUGAGAGGGUGGACGGUCACACUGGGACUGAGAUACGGCCCAGACUCCUACGGGAGGCAGCAGUGGGGAAUAUUGCACAAUGGGCGCAAGCCUGAUGCAGCGACGCCGCGUGAGGGAUGAAGGCCUUCGGGUUGUAAACCUCUUUCGUCAGGGAACAAGGCACUACCUUUUGGUGGUGUUGAGGGUACCUGGAUAAGAAGCGCCGGCUAACUACGUGCCAGCAGCCGCGGUAAUACGUAGGGCGCAAGCGUUGUCCGGAAUUAUUGGGCGUAAAGAGCUCGUAGGCGGCUGGUCGCGUCUGUCGUGAAAACUUCCGGCUCAACCGGGGGCUUGCGGUGGGUACGGGCCGGCUAGAGUGCGGUAGGGGUAACUGGAACUCCUGGUGUAGCGGUGGAAUGCGCAGAUAUCAGGAAGAACACCGAUGGCGAAGGCAGGUUACUGGGCCGUUACUGACGCUGAGGAGCGAAAGCGUGGGGAGCGAACAGGAUUAGAUACCCUGGUAGUCCACGCUGUAAACGUUGGGCACUAGGUGUGAGGCUCCUUUCCGGGGGUUUUGCGCCGUAGCUAACGCAUUAAGUGCCCCGCCUGGGGAGUACGGCCGCAAGGCUAAAACUCAAAGGAAUUGACGGGGGCCCGCACAAGCGGCGGAGCAUGCGGAUUAA